RNAcentral lists this long non-coding RNA (227 nucleotides) under Elaeis guineensis (African oil palm). RNAcentral's name for it is "long non-coding RNA (EGUI_LNC067440)". The record is from RNAcentral. Lineage: Eukaryota; Viridiplantae; Streptophyta; Magnoliopsida; Arecales; Arecaceae.
AGUGAAGCAAUGAGAAGUACUGCGAUAGGUGACAAAAGGCCCGACAGAAUCGGACCAUCAUGUAGAAUCUCAUUAGGCACAUAGGCAGCUCGAUCGCAACAUAUGUUGUCACCGACAAACUGGUAAUAGAUCUAUACCAAAACUCUUCACUAAAACUGUAAAAACUCUUAUAUGCAUAUUUUAAUUAAUUUAAUUUUAUUAUUUACUUAUUGUAGACAUGAUAGCUG